This is a long non-coding RNA of Panthera uncia (snow leopard), 1255 nucleotides long. RefSeq lists it as uncharacterized. The transcript has 3 exons. The record is from RefSeq and is a predicted model, not a curated record. Lineage: Eukaryota; Metazoa; Chordata; Mammalia; Carnivora; Felidae.
GAGCUGGGAGGAAAUAUUAAAGUAAUUCUUUUUCUUUCGCUAUCCCUGACUCCCACCCUCAGGUUAGGAUCCACCAACUGAGCAACAGAUUGAAGAGAAAAUACUGUGGUUUUUCUUUUUUUCCAUUAUGAAGAUAAAGAAAUCAUUACCAAGUUCUGGAAUCUGGGAAGCCCAAGAUAAAGGUACUAGCAGAUUUGAUGUCUGACGAAAGCCCAGUUUCUCAUUCAUAGAUGGCCAUCUUCCUGCUGUGUCCUCACAAGGUGGAAGAGGUCAGAAAGCUGGGGAGAUGGCAGAGUAAGAGGACCCUAAGCUCACCUCAUCCCACAGACACAACUAGAUAGCACUCACAUCAGUGUAAAUAACACAGAAAAUGGGCCGAAGACUGGAAGAACAGACUUUGCAACUAAAGGUAGGGAAGAGGCCAUACUGAAGAAGGUAAGAAGAGUGAAGGUGUGGUUUGGGAGUGAAAGAAACCAUGGCCAUUUAUGGCUGGACAGAGCUGGGUCUCAGAGAAGGGCAAGAAACAGACUGUCAUGCUGGGGAGACUGCACAAGGAAGAUGAAUCCCCAUAACAUUUGGCCAAACUUAGCAAGUUCUUACGACUAACAGAACUUAAAUACUGGAAUUUUAAAAAUUACUGAGCUUGGGGGGAGCCUGGAGGGUGUUAGGAAGCUGAGUCUCCACCUGCGUGGAGACAGCACCAGAGCCAGUGAAAAUACAGCACAGAAGGAACAGUUUGAAAAACACCUGUGGCAAGGGUGCUUGGGUGGCUUAGUCAGUUAAGCAUCCGACUUCAGCUCAGGUCAUGAUCUCAUGGUUCGUGAAUUCAAGCCCCGAGUUGGGGUCUGUGCUGAUGGCUCAGAGCCUGGAGCCUGCUUUGGAUUCUGUGUCUCUCUGUCUCUCUGCCCCUCCCCUGCUCACUCUCUGUCUCUGUCUCUCUCUCAAAAAUAAAUAAACUUUAAAAAAAGAAAAAGAAAAGAAAAAGACCUGUGGCAUAUGGGAGGGAGAGUGAUGUACUCAUUGCAGAGCAUGGCCCUGAGAAGCAAGGAUCACAAGGAGUCCCCUCUGGGAACAAAGAAACUGGCAAGUGCCAUUUCCUCCCUCUUCCCUUCAACAUGAGCACAGGGCCACUUGCUGUGGGAACCAGUUGAACAUCAACAUUCGCUGUCUAACUUGCUUAUACCAAGCCCUGUCCCCCUACACUUUGGCAGGUCUGCCCUUAGCAGUCAUGCUUGCCUCAGUCCCAGCACUGCAG